RNAcentral lists this long non-coding RNA (298 nucleotides) under Gallus gallus (chicken). Lineage: Eukaryota; Metazoa; Chordata; Aves; Galliformes; Phasianidae. The record is from RNAcentral.
CUCCACAGUCUGCUGCCCAGCUGGGAUGUUGGGAUCUCCGGUGAUUUUAGUCCCCUUGGCUUUCCUUCCAUGAAAGCUCAACAUGACAAUCUCCAGCCCAUGGCUCCCAUACGUUCCCUUGAAGAGACCUGGCUUGAUGAGGUCGUCAGGGCUGCUCGGAGGGAGGUAGAUGCGUCGGUAUGUCAAGCAGUUGUCAUAUUGGCUGGUGUAGAUGAACUUCAUCAGGAUGAGCUCUUGCAUGUGCUCAUGGAAGAUGUCCUCCAGUGUGCGACCCCACUCUUCCCGCAGCCACGUCCGG